CUUCUGUGGUGUAAUGCAUGAAGGGUUGUGGUCUCUUUGGUGAACUAGUGGUUCCAGGGGUCC
RNAcentral lists this transfer RNA (63 nucleotides) under Argopecten purpuratus. RNAcentral's name for it is "tRNA-His". Lineage: Eukaryota; Metazoa; Mollusca; Bivalvia; Pectinida; Pectinidae. The record is from RNAcentral.